RNAcentral lists this long non-coding RNA (1023 nucleotides) under Sus scrofa (pig). Its description in RNAcentral is "lncRNA (ENSSSCG00070002553.1)". Lineage: Eukaryota; Metazoa; Chordata; Mammalia; Artiodactyla; Suidae. The record is from RNAcentral.
CCAGCUGCCUCACGGCCUCCUCCGCCACACCUCUCCUUCCUUUAGAAAAGGAAUGGCAAGGCCCCAACAUUUUCCUUUUGAAAAUACAUUGGAAGAACAACUUUGUCUCUUAGCCUUUUCAGUACUGUCCCUUUCCCCGCAAGCCAGCAAACCCCAGAAAGAGACUGAUCACAUUUUCAAGCCUGCUGGUGCCUACCAGUGGCAGCAAGGACGCCCCCAGAUGGGCAAGCGGCCUCGCGUGUCCACGGACAGCGGUUCUUUCUACAUGUUUGGGCCUGGGUCCUUGGACCAGUCCAAAACUCAAAUGAAAGCCUCGGACCACAUCUGCGAACCCCCUGGCUGGCCAGUCCUCCCCACCGCUGUGCACAACAGGGAGAAAGACGCGAACGAGGGCACACACACACACAGAGACAGAGAUCACCGGACACACGCCAACAAAGACACACAGCUAUGAACGGGCACGGGCUCGGCGGCCUCCCCGCCCCGGCGGAUGGUGGUGGCGCGGUCGCAGAGGUACAGGGAGUAACAGUAAAUACCAACAAGGACGGAGACGCUUAUCAAGUCUGCCGGCAGCCUGACAGAUGCUCUCGGGCUGGGGAAGGCACUUAGGACAAUCAUUGCUCCUAAAAGAGAAAAUGAUUAUACGCUACCCAAACCCUAAGUACAAGCUAAAGAUAUUCACCUCGUUGAAGCCAUUCCUCAACUAGCCCCUUGGCACUUGCUGGAAUGAUUCGCAGCACGAGCUCUACUUUCUCAUUUUCUGCUGACUCCAUGUGGGUAAUUCCUUUCUCGUGAUUAAAAGUGAGCUUGGCAGAGCCUUCAAAGCGGCCGUAGGUGUGGGGAGGCUCCCAGGGCAUCCUUUGUCUGAGGCAGGUGGCUAAUCAUUCAUCAGUGGCCGGACGGGCGGGCCCGGGGAAUAGUCAGGCACCUACAAAUAAUUUUUUAAAGGCAAACUUUAUAGAGAGCUUUAUGUAAACAUAUUUUUAUAAUAAAACAUGCAGUGGACGGAUGAAAUGAACUGUU